Salvia miltiorrhiza (redroot sage) is the source of this 1239-nucleotide long non-coding RNA. RefSeq lists it as uncharacterized. Lineage: Eukaryota; Viridiplantae; Streptophyta; Magnoliopsida; Lamiales; Lamiaceae. The transcript is spliced from 5 exons. The record is from RefSeq and is a predicted model, not a curated record.
AGCAACUCCCGAGUAAUACUCGUAUGUUUUCGCUCCAAAUCUCACACUCCAGCAAAUCGCUCCAAAUCCCCAAUUCGACUCCAGCAAAUCGGUCUUCCCUUCACCAAAUCACCACUCCAGCAAAUCAACAAAUCAAUUAAGUGUGAAAUUGCACCAAAUCUCAAACCUUCGUCGCCGCCCCAGCCUUGUACGACCGCCGCUCCAGCCCCCUCCGGCCGCCGCCGCUCUCCCCGCCCCAUCUCCUUCGAUCGACAGCCCGCCGCCCUCACCUAGCCUUUCGUCGCCGCCCCAGCCUUCUACGGCCGCUGCUCCAGCCCCCUCCGGCCGCCGCCGCUCUCCCCGCCCCAUCUCCUUCGAUCGACAGCCGGCCGCCCUCACCUAGCCUUUCAUCGCCGCCCCAGCCUUCUACGGCCGCCGCUCCAGCCCCCUCCGGCCGCCGCCGCUCUCCCCGCCCCGUCUCCUUCGAUCGACAGCCCACCGCCCUCACCUAACCUUUCCCGGACUACUCCGCAGCAGCAGCAGCAGUUUCCAACGCCCAAGUUCCCAACUAAAGGGUGCUGAACUUGCUGCAUAGGAAGGAAAGAGUGCAGCAGCAUUGGCAGCUUGUACGACGUUCGUUGAAGAUCUAACUGAGCUGCGUUUUCCAGCUCCUAGGAUUCUUGCAUUUAAGUCAAGCUCUCGGAUGCCUUCUCUUACAACUCCUGUUGGUCCUGGAAAUAAUUCCAAGGCUCCCCCAAAAAAGCCUCUGGUUGGCCAGAAGAAGCCAAUGGAAGCUCCUGGUUCUUCACCUCCAUCAAGGUGUCUGGAUCCCUUGUUGAUCAAAGCAUCGAGCAUCUCAACGAUUUGACUGCAGUGAGCGGAGUUAAUCUCAGGGAGAAGGAGGAACAACUAUUUUCUGGAUCCAAGGAAGACAGCCGCGUUUCAGAGGCAUCUCGACGGGUUGUUCAAGAAGAAGAAGAGAAAUUGAUAUUGCAUAAGAUCCCACUUCAGAAAAUGAUGGUGGAGAUAAGUGACAAUAACAGUUAGCAGGAAGAUAGGAAGCUAGAUGUGGCAUUUUGGUUGGUGUUUUGUAUGUCUUUUGAAUCUGGAAAAAAUGUAAGAAUUUGGUGAAGCAAGUGUUGAACACCAUUUUUUUGUUAAUAUUGUUUGGAUGUAAAUUACAUGACUACUUUAGGUACUUUGAAGCUACAAUGUAUGGAAGUUUAAGUUAUGUUAUAUAAUAUGUUUUGGAUUGUAUUA